AUUGAACGCUGGCGGCAUGCUUUACACAUGCAAGUCGAACGGGCUGGGGGCAACUCCAGUCAGUGGCGAACGGGUGAGUAAUGCAUCGGAACGUGUCCCGUAGUGGGGGAUAACCCGGCGAAAGCCGGACUAAUACCGCAUAUGCUCUACGGAGGAAAGUGGGGGACCGCAAGGCCUCACGCUAUGGGAGCGGCCGAUGUCCGAUUAGCUUGUUGGUGGGGUAAUGGCCUACCAAGGCGACGAUCGGUAGCUGGUCUGAGAGGAUGAUCAGCCACACUGGGACUGAGACACGGCCCAGACUCCUACGGGAGGCAGCAGUGGGGAAUUUUGGACAAUGGGGGCAACCCUGAUCCAGCCAUGCCGCGUGCGGGAAGAAGG
RNAcentral lists this ribosomal RNA (378 nucleotides) under uncultured bacterium. RNAcentral describes it as "bacterial SSU rRNA". It matches the Rfam family "Bacterial small subunit ribosomal RNA", at positions 29 to 414 of the family's 1533-position model. The record is from RNAcentral.